AACGAACGCUGGCGGCAUGCCUAACACAUGCAAGUCGAGCGAGACCUCCGGGUCUAUUCGUGCAUGAUGGCGUAACGCGUGGGAACCUGCACUUAUGGUCGGAAUAACUCUCCGAAAGGGGUGCUAAUACCGGAUAAUGUCUUCGAACGAAAGAUUUAUCGCACCGGAUGGGUCAAAAGUGGAAGAGGAUCUUGUUGUGGCUAUUGGAUGGCCCCGCGUUGGAUUAGCUAGUUGGUAGGGUAAAAGCCUACCAAGGCGACGAUCCAUAGCUGGUCUGAGAGGAUGAUCAGCCACACUGGGACUGAGACACGGCCCAGACUCCUACGGGAGGCAGCAGUGGGGAAUAUUGGACAAUGGGCGAAAGCCUGAUCCAGCAAUGCCGCGUGAGUGAUGAAGGCCUUAGGGUUGUAAAGCUCUUUUACCCGGGAUGAUAAUGACAGUACCGGGAGAAUAAGCUCCGGCUAACUCCGUG
RNAcentral lists this ribosomal RNA (472 nucleotides) under uncultured bacterium. RNAcentral's name for it is "partial 16S ribosomal RNA". It matches the Rfam family "Bacterial small subunit ribosomal RNA", at positions 29 to 507 of the family's 1533-position model. The record is from RNAcentral.